RNAcentral lists this ribosomal RNA (138 nucleotides) under uncultured bacterium. Its description in RNAcentral is "partial 16S ribosomal RNA". It matches the Rfam family "Bacterial small subunit ribosomal RNA", at positions 355 to 509 of the family's 1533-position model. The record is from RNAcentral.
UGGGGAAUAUUGCGCAAUGGGGGAAACCCUGACGCAGCAACGCCGCGUGAUUGAAGAAGGCCCUCGGGUUGUAAAGAUCUUUAAUCGGGGACGAAUUUUGACGGUACCCGAAGAAUAAGCUCCGGCUAACUACGUGCC